Molecule: long non-coding RNA, 845 nt
Organism: Bos taurus (domestic cattle)
Lineage: Eukaryota; Metazoa; Chordata; Mammalia; Artiodactyla; Bovidae
Source: Ensembl
AGUGAGGCAGAGGAAAUCUCCGAGGUGGAAAGUGGAAGUGAAGUCGCUCAGUCGUGUCCGACUCCUUUCGACCCCAUGGGCCUACCACGCUCCUCCGUCCAUGGGAUUUUCCAGGGGUGAGCAAACUCCAGGCCACGGGAGCGAAACGUACAACUUGAUUUGUCAUCAGGAUGAUACUGUCAUGCCUCUGCUGUUGUCCAGAAGGGCAAGUUGAACUAACAGACGUCCCCCCCACCCCCCCCACCAACUAUGGGACCAUCUGGUUGAAGAAUCAUAAUCGGAGAUACUUUGGCUCCUGAAACAACAAUUAACGAAUGUCGCAAGACAAUGAUUAAUCCCAGCCUCUUCAUUCUUCCUCUUUAAAAACCCUAACUCAGAGACUAAGGUGAAGAAGAUCUGAGGCUUGUCUCCCACUCCCUUGCUUAGAACCUGCAAUAAACUGCAAUAAACUUAGAACCUGCUUAGAACCUGCUGUAUUUUCCUUCACCAAGUGAACAACAAAAAAAAUUCUUGCCCACCAUCAAGCCAUCAGCCACUGCAGCUGCCCUCCAUGUGCACCCUGAGGGGCAUUCAGGAUGGAGAGAAACAAGAUACUGGCCCUAGAUAAUUAAGAUGCAUAUCAAAGCAAAAACUCCUAUGUAUCCUGGCUCCUAAUGGCAGAAAGUGAAGAGAAACUAAAGAGCCUCUUGAUGAGGGUGAAAGAGGAGAGUGAAAAAGCUGGCUUUAAAACUCAACAUUUAGAAAACUAAGAUCAUGGCAUCUGGUCCCAUCAUUUCAUGACAAACAGAUGGGGAAAGAAUGGAAACCGUGGCAGAUUUUAUUUUCUUGGGCUCCCAAAUCACUGC